Molecule: long non-coding RNA, 1984 nt
Filed under: Sinocyclocheilus grahami
Lineage: Eukaryota; Metazoa; Chordata; Actinopteri; Cypriniformes; Cyprinidae
Description: lncRNA (ENSSGRG00000051554.1)
Source: RNAcentral
UUCAACUUUAUUUUUUAUUAAAUUAUAUUGAUAUUUGUAUUAUUUCCUAUGAGAGGCAGUAUUAUUUGUUAAUAUUGGUCCAUGUGUCUUUGUGUUUAGGUGGUUGGUGAGGCUUUGGAAUGCAGUGAUAGUUCCACGGGUCGAGGAUGCUGUUAUAUCUAGAGUAACAGCCAAACGCUCUCCCUCCCAAAGACGGUCUCCCAACAACAAAGGUCUGAGCCCAGGUCAGAGGGCGGUAGUCAAAGCAGCUCUCAAUAUCCUGCUGAAUAAGGCUGUGCUGCAGGGCUGCCCGCUGCCCAGAACAGAGAUUGACAGGUUCUUACCAGAGUUCCAGGGAGGAUGUUUCCCUCUUUCCACCAUUGGCUCUGCCUACAGGAAAGGUGGCAGAAAAGGACGCGAUAAUGGCGCUUGGAGACGAGCCAAUACCAGUCCAAGGAAGAAAGGAAGCCCCGCCUCUGGGAGGAGCUCUAGCUGCUCUUUAAGAGAAGGAUCUCUGGCCAAUUCAAGCGCUCACUCAAUGAUAAAUGUCAAUCAUGCAAGACUCAGUGAAGGAGUUGCUGUGGGUCUGUCACUCUGCUCUGAUGAUGAGACGGAUCUCAUCAGAGAACUCCAGACCAUGUGCUCUAGCAAAUCUGAGCCAGACAUAAGCAAGAUUGCUCUUUUUAAAGAGGACUUCAUCAUGCUUCCAGACUCGAUUCCGCCCACUCCUCAGAGGAGUGAUGCCGAGGUCACGCAGCCCCAAACAUGCCCUGUAACAACAGAGUGCGCUGUGGAUAUGCCCCAUCCUCCACCACAGAAGAUCGACAGUAGUCACACUUCUCCUCAGCGAGUGACAAGGCCCAGAUCGCAUCUGCCCAUCCCCAGCAGCAGAGGGGCUCAGCAGGUGAACACCUCUAGCAGCAGUUCCCUUCAGAGUCACAGCAGCAGCCCUAGCAGAGCCUCCACGAGCAGCAGAGCAAGGCAGCCCCCAUCCCAUAACAACAGAAACAACUUCUCACAAGACGACAUCUGGUUCCUGGACCCCAGCUGUAAUGAAAACUACAGUAACCGUUGAUAGACACCUCCCACUGCCCUCCCUUUGCCCUCAGUCUUUUAUGUUGUGAAGUUUGGUUACUGGCAGCAUUUUAGUAUUUGUACAUGUUGUCCAUACUUGUUACACUAUAUUACAUUGUGUACUUUGGGACCAUAGUUUUAAUAUAUUCAACUGUUUAAGUAAAGAACUCUGAGGAAAAAAAAGUACGAUGAGCUAACAGGAGAAAGACUGCUUGAACGUUUUACAAUUUGCCUUUUAGGUCAAAUGUUUUGGAUCAAAGUAAGAGCUGGUAGUGUUUUUGCUCUUUAGUAUUUACAAUCAAUCAUGUUUUAUGUUUAAAUAAGUGAAAGUUUUAAAAACUGUCGAAAAUCAGGGUUUUACCAAAUAUGUGUAAAUAAGAACUGGGAACUUAAAUGUUGUAUAGAUUGGUGUGUGCGUGUGCGUGCGUGUGUGUGUGUGAUACUGCGCUUGUACAUUGGAGGACUUUUGAAGGGAAAAUGAGAAGUGUAUAUAUUGUUUGUAUUAUUAAAUUUUGGUUCAUAUUUUUUCACUCGUUUCCAAAUGAACUGAAUGUGGCAAUAAGUACCGCCAUUGCGAUCACAGGAUAUUUUGUUUUUGUCCAUUAAGCCAUAAUUGGUAUUUUCAAUUACUCUCAUGCGUGCUCAGUGACUGGCUUGAACUUUGACUUUGUGAAACCCAACUAUGAAAUCGGAAGCGGCGCGCAUUAACUUUUCGUUUGUCUUCUAUAUUGAACAUUUAGGAUAAACAAGUAUUAUUUUAAAGUCAGUAUUGUUCAUACUGAAGAGAUUAUAGUCGACCUCUGAUGUUUAAAUGUAUUAUAGUUGUCGGAUGAGGUUCAGAGAAGUUGUCCUGUUUCCUCCAAGCACAACAAUUAAAAAUGCACUAUCCUAGACAUCACCUCAGCGCUUGGCUUUUCUUUCUCCACACAGC